RNAcentral lists this long non-coding RNA (309 nucleotides) under Malus domestica (apple). RNAcentral's name for it is "long non-coding RNA (MDOM_LNC020893)". The record is from RNAcentral. Lineage: Eukaryota; Viridiplantae; Streptophyta; Magnoliopsida; Rosales; Rosaceae.
CGGCGAGAGCCUCUGUUUUUCUCGAAGGCCGACUACCUGAGAAGAUAAAAGCAAGUCAGCAAGGUAGAUCAGUAGUUCAAAAUUGAAAGAAAAAGGUAGAAAUAAACCAUUACCUUGGGUUUGGGGGGCAGAAGACUUUUUAGGUCGACCACCAAAAAGUGUGUCCACAAUGGUAUCGACCGAGACCCCAAAAAACCGUUGGGUAUAACUGUCCCACCAAUCACCGAAGGUGUCGGUGCAAAGGGUUUCUGGAGUGGCCGGUCGAAGGUGAAAUUUCUGGCACCGUUCCUGGAACUCCUUCUUGGCGUC